Molecule: microRNA precursor, 146 nt
Filed under: Solanum peruvianum
Lineage: Eukaryota; Viridiplantae; Streptophyta; Magnoliopsida; Solanales; Solanaceae
Also listed under: 1 other name
Description: pre-miR482a
Source: RNAcentral
AAUUGGGAAAGGGAUGAAGAUUUUUGGGAAGCUUUUGGCGUGAGCGGUGGGGAAAGAUAGAUCUAUCAUAUUUGUAUGAUAUGAUAAAUCUUGCCUACACCGCCCAUGCCCAUGGCUUCCAAUUAUUUCUCCCUUUCCAUACAAUU